RNAcentral lists this ribosomal RNA (111 nucleotides) under Spirochaetes bacterium GWB1_60_80. The record is from RNAcentral. Lineage: Bacteria; Pseudomonadati; Spirochaetota. RNAcentral also lists the same sequence under 2 other names.
CCCGGUGAUCAUUAUGAAGAGGCCACACCCGUUCCCAUUCCGAACACGGAAGUUAAGCUCUUUAAUGCCGAUGGUACUGCCUUUGGGUGGGAGAGUAGGUCGUCGCCGGGC